Canis lupus familiaris (dog) is the source of this 83-nucleotide non-coding RNA. The record is from Rfam. Lineage: Eukaryota; Metazoa; Chordata; Mammalia; Carnivora; Canidae.
GCUUGGGUGGCUCAGUGGUAGAGCGUCUGCCUUUGGCUCAGGGCAUAGUCCCAGGACUCUGGGAUCGAGUCCCACAUCAGGCU